RNAcentral lists this ribosomal RNA (170 nucleotides) under Listeria monocytogenes. Its description in RNAcentral is "partial 16S ribosomal RNA". It matches the Rfam family "Bacterial small subunit ribosomal RNA", at positions 1 to 165 of the family's 1533-position model. RNAcentral also lists the same sequence under 2 other names. The record is from RNAcentral. Lineage: Bacteria; Bacillati; Bacillota; Bacilli; Caryophanales; Listeriaceae.
UUUAAAGAGAGUUUGAUCCUGGCUCAGGACGAACGCUGGCGGCGUGCCUAAUACAUGCAAGUCGAACGAACGGAGGAAGAGCUUGCUCUUCCAAAGUUAGUGGCGGACGGGUGAGUAACACGUGGGCAACCUGCCUGUAAGUUGGGGAUAACUCCGGGAAACCGGGGCUA